Molecule: ribosomal RNA, 454 nt
Filed under: uncultured bacterium
Lineage: Bacteria
Description: bacterial SSU rRNA
Rfam family: Bacterial small subunit ribosomal RNA
Source: RNAcentral
UACGGGAGGCAGCAGUGGGGAAUAUUGCACAAUGGGCGAAAGCCUGAUGCAGCUAUGCCGCGUGUAUGAAGAAGGCCUUAGGGUUGUAAAGUACUUUCAUCGGGGAGGAAAAACAAAACUAAUAAUUUUAUUUCUUGACGUUACCCGAAAAAGAAGCACCGGCUAACUCCGUGCCAGCAGCCGCGGUAAUACGGAGGGUGCUAGCGUUAAUCAGAAUUACUGGGCGUAAAGAGCACGUAGGUGGUUUUUUUAAGUCAGAUGUGAAAUCCCUGGGCUUAACCUAGGAACUGCAUUUUGAAACUGAAAUACUAGAGUAUCGUAGAGGGAGGUAGAAUUCUAGGUGUAGCGGUGAAAUGCGUAGAUAUCUGGAGGAUACCUGUGGCGAAAGCGGCCUCCUAAACGAAUACUGACACUGAGGUGCGAAAGCGUGGGGAGCAAACAGGGAUUAGAUACC